RNAcentral lists this ribosomal RNA (451 nucleotides) under Staphylocystis clydesengeri. RNAcentral describes it as "partial 16S ribosomal RNA". The record is from RNAcentral. Lineage: Eukaryota; Metazoa; Platyhelminthes; Cestoda; Cyclophyllidea; Hymenolepididae.
UGCUUAAUAAAAUUUAAAUUGUAUAAUUUAAACUGAAAAUUUCAGAUUUUGCUCAUAGUUGUUUUGAAUUAAGUUUAUUUAGGUUAAUUUUUUAAAAUUGUGAGUACGUGGUGAAAAAUUAGUCGUUGAAAUUUAUAUCCGUUUGAUUAUUCUGUUUUCAUUUUACAUUUAAAGUUAUGAUAUUUUAAAUGGUUUUAUAUCAUUAUGAUUUGUAGCAUUUCUAAUAGGGUUAAAGAUACCCUAUUUUAGUAAGUUUGUUAUAAUAUUUGUUAUCAUGUGUGUUUGAUUAAUGUUUGUGAUAAUCUAUUAAAUAUUUAGUAUUUAAUUAUUAUUAAAUGAGUAAUUUUAAUAUGUUAUGUUAUUUCUCAAGUUUUGUCCGUCUGUUUAUUAAAAACAUUUCUAAAUUUAAAUUUAUUUAGUAAUACCUGCCCCAUGCUUUUGUAAAUGGCCG